UGGUGUUUUUUUCUGCCUGGAACAUUCUCGGCGCUGUGAGAUCUCUUCUCCUAACAAGAGGCUGCAGGACGCCGGCGUGUUUCCUCUCGGAGGAUCUGUAAAUGACCUUGUCUCCGUCCACUCCUCCGCAAAGUGGAACAUCGUCUCUCAAAGGCUGAAAUUACAGCUGCAGAAAGGAGGGAGCGCUGUGUAUUAAAAGGUCUUUGUCUCUCAGGGUUAAACAAAGGGGAAGUCAUUUCGUGGACAGGAUGGGUUCUCCAGGAAGACGUGGGGUUUUAUCUCCCAGGGAAAGAGACGGAGUUAAAUCAGAGAUCCUGCUGAGAAACAUCCUUCGUAAAAGAAAGUAUGAAUGGAGAAGAAUCCACGUGGCUGAGGGUCUGUUAUAAAUAUGAUUAUUCAGAUUAAUGUCAAGUUCCUAUAUUUCUGCUCUUUUGAAUUUGAUACUCCUGUCCGCUGGCUGUUACAGGACAGCCCCCCCGA
Platichthys flesus (European flounder) is the source of this 480-nucleotide long non-coding RNA. RefSeq lists it as uncharacterized. The transcript is spliced from 3 exons. The record is from RefSeq and is a predicted model, not a curated record. Lineage: Eukaryota; Metazoa; Chordata; Actinopteri; Pleuronectiformes; Pleuronectidae.